GAUGAAGAACGUAGCGAAAUGCGAUAAGUAAUGUGAAUUGCAGAAUUCAGUGAAUCAUCGAAUCUUUGAACGCACAUUGCGCUCGCUAGUAUUCUGGCGGGCAUGCCUGUCCGAGCGUCAUUUCAACCCUCAAGCCCCCGGGCUUGGUGUUGGGGAUCGGCGAGCCUCCGCGCCCGCCGUCCCCUAAAUCUAGUGGCGGUCUCGCUGUAGCUUCCUCUGCGUAGUAGCACACCUCGCACUGGGAAACAGCGCGGCCACGCCGUUAAACCCCCAACUUCUGAACGUUUGACCUCGGAUCAGGUAGGAAUACCCGCUGAACUAAAGCAUAUCAAUAAGCGGAGGA
Molecule: unclassified non-coding RNA, 343 nt
Filed under: soil metagenome
Description: partial contains 5.8S ribosomal RNA, internal transcribed spacer 2, and large subunit ribosomal RNA
Rfam family: 5.8S ribosomal RNA (bases 1-120)
Source: RNAcentral